RNAcentral lists this ribosomal RNA (500 nucleotides) under uncultured bacterium. Its description in RNAcentral is "partial 16S ribosomal RNA". It matches the Rfam family "Bacterial small subunit ribosomal RNA", at positions 29 to 523 of the family's 1533-position model. The record is from RNAcentral.
AACGAACGCUGGCGGCAUGCCUUACACAUGCAAGUCGAACGGCAGCACGGGAGCAAUCCUGGUGGCGAGUGGCGAACGGGUGAGUAAGGUAUCGGAACGUGCCCAGUCGUGGGGGAUAACGUAGCGAAAGUUACGCUAAUACCGCAUACGAUCUAUGGAUGAAAGCGGGGGAUCGCAAGACCUCGCGCGAUUGGAGCGGCCGAUAUCAGAUUAGGUAGUUGGUGGGGUAAAGGCUCACCAAGCCGACGAUCUGUAGCUGGUCUGAGAGGACGACCAGCCACACUGGGACUGAGACACGGCCCAGACUCCUACGGGAGGCAGCAGUGGGGAAUUUUGGACAAUGGGCGAAAGCCUGAUCCAGCCAUGCCGCGUGCAGGAUGAAGGCCUUCGGGUUGUAAACUGCUUUUGUACGGAACGAAAAGGUUUGGCCUAAUAAGCUGAGCUCAUGACGGUACCGUAAGAAUAAGCACCGGCUAACUACGUGCCAGCAGCCGCGGUAA